This 484-nucleotide ribosomal RNA is filed under the name uncultured bacterium. Its description in RNAcentral is "partial 16S ribosomal RNA". It matches the Rfam family "Bacterial small subunit ribosomal RNA", at positions 28 to 507 of the family's 1533-position model. The record is from RNAcentral.
AUUGAACGCUGGCGGCAUGCUUUACACAUGCCAGUCGAACGGCAGCGCGGGCUUCGGCCUGGCGGCGAGUGGCGAACGGGUGAGUAAUGCAUCGGAACGUGCCCAGUAGUGGGGGAUAGCCCGGCGAAAGCCGGAUUAAUACCGCAUACGACCUGAGGGUGAAAGCGGGGGACCGAAAGGCCUCGCGCUAUUGGAGCGGCCGAUGUCGGAUUAGCUAGUUGGUGGGGUAAAGGCUUACCAAGGCGACGAUCCGUAGCUGGUCUGAGAGGACGACCAGCCACACUGGGACUGAGACACGGCCCAGACUCCUACGGGAGGCAGCAGUGGGGAAUUUUGGACAAUGGGGGCAACCCUGAUCCAGCCAUGCCGCGUGCGGGAAGAAGGCCUUCGGGUUGUAAAACGCUUUUGUUCGGGAAGAAAUCCUCUGGGCUAAUACCCCGGGGGGAUGACGGUACCGGAAGAAUAAGCACCGGCUAACUACGUG